RNAcentral lists this ribosomal RNA (253 nucleotides) under uncultured bacterium. Its description in RNAcentral is "partial 16S ribosomal RNA". It matches the Rfam family "Bacterial small subunit ribosomal RNA", at positions 524 to 776 of the family's 1533-position model. The record is from RNAcentral.
UACAGAGGUCCCAAGCGUUGUUCGUAUUCACUGGGCGUAAAGGGUGCGUAGUAGGUCGGGUAAGUUUGAUGUGAAAUCUCCGGGCUUAACCCGGAAAUGGCAUUGAAUACUAUUCGGCUGGAGGGUUGGAGGGGGGACUGGAAUUCUCGGUGUAGCAGUGAAAUGCGUAGAGAUCGAGAGGAACACCAGUGGCGAAGGCGAGUCCCUGGACAACUCCUGACACUAAGGCACGAAAGCUAGGGGAGCAAACAGU